Molecule: long non-coding RNA, 345 nt
Filed under: Brachypodium distachyon (stiff brome)
Lineage: Eukaryota; Viridiplantae; Streptophyta; Magnoliopsida; Poales; Poaceae
Description: long non-coding RNA (BDIS_LNC003769)
Source: RNAcentral
AUUCUAUAUGCAAUUUAGGUGUAUGUAUUUGUAUGCAAUUUGAUUUUUGAAUAUUCUGGUCCGUUAUAUAUUUUAUUUUAUUUUACCUAGCCAAAAUACUAAGCUUUUUUACUUAUGUUUUGGUGAUAUCCUUUUCUGAUUGAUUGGUUUAAAUUCAUAAUACAUUAUAUUGUAAAUUAGAUAGUCAAUAACAUAUUUUAGCAAAAGAGUUGUAUUUUAUUGACAUGCUUGGCAAUACAGAAGUCUUGAAUUUUAUUAAAUCGAAAGUUGAGUUGAAAAACGUAUGCAAACUAACAGAGAGGGUGUAGACAUGUUGUUGCUCGAUUUUGUCGACUUCGUAAGGCU